RNAcentral lists this ribosomal RNA (492 nucleotides) under uncultured bacterium. Its description in RNAcentral is "partial 16S ribosomal RNA". It matches the Rfam family "Bacterial small subunit ribosomal RNA", at positions 29 to 507 of the family's 1533-position model. The record is from RNAcentral.
AUUGAACGCUGGCGGCAUGCAUUACACAUGCAAGUCGAACGGUAACACGCCUUCGGGUGCUGACGAGUGGCGAACGGGUGAGUAAUGCAUCGGAACGUACCCAGAGGCGGGGGCUAACGCAGCGCAAGCUGUGCUAAUACCGCAUGUGAUCUGAGGAUGAAAGCGGGGGACCGAGCUGCAAAGUUUGGCCUCGCGCCUUUGGAGCGGCCGCUGUCGGAUUAGCUAGUUGGUAGGGUAAAGGCCUACCAAGGCGACGAUCCGUAGCUGGUCUGAGAGGAGGACCGGACACACUGGGACUGAGACACGGCCCAGACUCCUACGGGAGGCAGCAGUAGGGAAUCUUGGACAAUGGGCGCAAGCCUGAUCCAGCAAGGCCGCGUGAGGGAUGAAGGCCUUCGGGUUGUAAACCGCUUUUGACAGGAACGAAACGGUGUCCGCUAAUACCGGGCGCUAAUGACGGUACCUACAGAAUAAGCAACGGCUAACUACGUG